AAUUGAUUUUGUUUGUUGAAUAAAAAGAGAAAAAAUAUGACGAAAAUUCUCAUGUUUUUUUUCGUGUUAUGGUCUGUUUUUCUUGCUUUUGUUGUAAGUGGCGUAAGUGCCGGACAAUAUGUGCCGUGUAAAGAGGAUAGGGACUGCGCUUACAUAUUAUGUUUAUCUUGGCAUAAACAUUGGUCUACGCGUUGUGUUAAUGGUGAAUGUGUCUGUUAGUUAAGUUGAGAAUUAAUACUACGAAAAUAACUUAUGUCAAAGCUUAUAAAUUUAUUAGAAAUCUUAAUAUUGUCACUCUAAUAUUAUAAGUUUGAGUGAACUAUACUUUGUUUUUCAUAAUGGAAAUGAUUUGAGUAUUAGCUUCAUUUAUGGUUCUUAAUUUGAUAA
Molecule: long non-coding RNA, 387 nt
Organism: Cicer arietinum (chickpea)
Lineage: Eukaryota; Viridiplantae; Streptophyta; Magnoliopsida; Fabales; Fabaceae
Source: RefSeq, a predicted model, not a curated record